Molecule: small nucleolar RNA, 106 nt
Organism: Gossypium arboreum
Lineage: Eukaryota; Viridiplantae; Streptophyta; Magnoliopsida; Malvales; Malvaceae
Rfam family: Plant small nucleolar RNA R71
About the family: R71 is a member of the C/D box family of snoRNAs containing the C (UGAUGA) and D (CUGA) box motifs.
Source: Rfam
AAUUCGUGGUGCGGGCAUUUUUGAAUCAACAUUUUGAAACGUUUACAUGCCUCAUAGAAACUUUCUCCCUCCAUCUAUCUAAAGACAACAAUCUCUCUUCUUAGUU